RNAcentral lists this ribosomal RNA (393 nucleotides) under uncultured bacterium. Its description in RNAcentral is "bacterial SSU rRNA". It matches the Rfam family "Bacterial small subunit ribosomal RNA", at positions 28 to 422 of the family's 1533-position model. The record is from RNAcentral.
GACGAACGCUGGCGGCGUGCUUAACACAUGCAAGUCGAGCGGUAAGGCCCUUUCGGGGGUACACGAGCGGCGAACGGGUGAGUAACACGUGGGUGACCUGCCCUCAGCUCUGGGAUAAGCCUGGGAAACUGGGUCUAAUACUGGAUAUGACUCCACGGUGCAUGUCGUGGGGUGGAAAGCCUUGUGCGGCUGAGGAUGGGCCCGCGGCCUAUCAGCUUGUUGGUGGGGUGANGGCCUACCAAGGCGACGACGGGUAGCCGGCCUGAGAGGGCGACCGGCCACACUGGGACUGAGACACGGCCCAGACUCCUACGGGAGGCAGCAGUGGGGAAUCUUGCGUAAUGGGCGAAAGCCUGACGCAGCGACGCCGCGUGAGGGAUGACGGCCUCGGUG